This 518-nucleotide ribosomal RNA is filed under the name Fusarium equiseti. RNAcentral describes it as "eukaryotic LSU rRNA". The stretch from base 152 to 305 matches the Rfam family "5.8S ribosomal RNA". The record is from RNAcentral. Lineage: Eukaryota; Fungi; Ascomycota; Sordariomycetes; Hypocreales; Nectriaceae.
UUGGCUAUCCGACUUAACUCCCAACCCCUGUGACAUACCUAUACGUUGCCUCGGCGGAUCAGCCCGCGCCCCGUAAAACGGGACGGCCCGCCCGAGGACCCUAAACUCUGUUUUUAGUGGAACUUCUGAGUAAAACAAACAAAUAAAUCAAAACUUUCAACAACGGAUCUCUUGGUUCUGGCAUCGAUGAAGAACGCAGCAAAAUGCGAUAAGUAAUGUGAAUUGCAGAAUUCAGUGAAUCAUCGAAUCUUUGAACGCACAUUGCGCCCGCCAGUAUUCUGGCGGGCAUGCCUGUUCGAGCGUCAUUUCAACCCUCAAGCUCAGCUUGGUGUUGGGACUCGCGGUAACCCGCGUUCCCCAAAUCGAUUGGCGGUCACGUCGAGCUUCCAUAGCGUAGUAAUCAUACACCUCGUUACUGGUAAUCGUCGCGGCCACGCCGUAAAACCCCAACUUCUGAAUGUUGACCUCGGAUCAGGUAGGAAUACCCGCUGAACUUAAGCAUAUCAAUAAGCGGAGGA